This 495-nucleotide ribosomal RNA is filed under the name uncultured bacterium. RNAcentral describes it as "partial 16S ribosomal RNA". It matches the Rfam family "Bacterial small subunit ribosomal RNA", at positions 28 to 507 of the family's 1533-position model. The record is from RNAcentral.
GACGAACGCUGGCGGCGUGCCUAAUACAUGCAAGUAGAACGCUGAAGGAGGAGCUUGCUUCUCUGGAUGAGUUGCGAACGGGUGAGUAACGCGUAGGUAACCUGCCUGGUAGCGGGGGAUAACUAUUGGAAACGAUAGCUAAUACCGCAUAAGAGUAGAUGUUGCAUGACAUUUGCUUAAAAGGUGCAAUUGCAUCACUACCAGAUGGACCUGCGUUGUAUUAGCUAGUUGGUGGGGUAACGGCUCACCAAGGCGACGAUACAUAGCCGACCUGAGAGGGGGGUCGGCCACACUGGGACUGAGACACGGCCCAGACUCCUACGGGAGGCAGCAGUAGGGAAUCUUCGGCAAUGGACGGAAGUCUGACCGAGCAACGCCGCGUGAGUGAAGAAGGUUUUCGGAUCGUAAAGCUCUGUUGUAAGAGAAGAACGAGUGUGAGAGUGGAAAGUUCACACUGUGACGGUAUCUUACCAGAAAGGGACGGCUAACUACGUG